CCUACGGGAGGCAGCAGUCGAGAAUCAUUCACAAUGGGGGAAACCCUGAAGCAGCAACGCCGCGUGGAGGAUGAAGGUUUUCGGAUUGUAAACUCCUUUUGUUAGAGAAGAUAAUGACGGUAUCUAACGAAUAAGCACCGGCUAACUCCGUGCCAGCAGCCGCGGUAAUACGGAGGGUGCAAGCGUUACCCGGAAUUACUGGGCGUAAAGGGAGCGUAGGCGGGAUAGCAAGUCAGAUGUGAAAUCCUAUGGCUUAACCAUAGAACUGCAUUUGAAACUGUUAUUCUAGAGUAUGGGAGAGGUAGGUGGAAUUCGUGGUGUAGCGGUGAAAUGCGUAGAGAUCAAGAGGAAUACUCAUUGCGAAGGCGACCUGCUAGAACGUAACUGACGCUGAUGCUCGAAAGCGUGGGGAGCAAACAGGAUUAGAUACCCGGGUAGUC
This 440-nucleotide ribosomal RNA is filed under the name uncultured bacterium. Its description in RNAcentral is "partial 16S ribosomal RNA". It matches the Rfam family "Bacterial small subunit ribosomal RNA", at positions 338 to 795 of the family's 1533-position model. The record is from RNAcentral.